Molecule: ribosomal RNA, 491 nt
Filed under: uncultured bacterium
Lineage: Bacteria
Description: partial 16S ribosomal RNA
Rfam family: Bacterial small subunit ribosomal RNA
Source: RNAcentral
AGUGAACGCUGGCGGUAGGCCUAACACAUGCAAGUCGAACGGCAGCACAGUAAGAGCUUGCUCUUACGGGUGGCGAGUGGCGGACGGGUGAGGAAUACAUCGGAAUCUACUUUUUCGUGGGGGAUAACGUAGGGAAACUUACGCUAAUACCGCAUACGACCUACGGGUGAAAGCAGGGGAUCUUCGGACCUUGCGCGAUUGAAUGAGCCGAUGUCGGAUUAGCUAGUUGGCGGGGUAAAGGCCCACCAAGGCGACGAUCCGUAGCUGGUCUGAGAGGAUGAUCAGCCACCCUGGACCUGGGACACGGUCCAGACUCCUACGGGAGGCAGCAGUGGGGAAUAUUGGACAAGGGGCGAAAGCCUGUUCCAGCCAUACCGCGGGGGUGAAGAAGGCCUUCGGGUUGUAAAGCCCUUUUGUUGGGAAAGAAAAGCAGCAGGUUAAUACCCCGCUGUUCUGACGGUACCCAAGAAUAAGCACCGGCUAACUUCGUG